UAGCCCCUGCUGAGAAUGAAAUUCAGAUUUUAUUCAAUCUGAAAGUUGUGUGUGUUUUAGAUACAAUUGAAAAAAAACUUGAAUCUGGACUUUGUGAUACUAAAAAAUUUCCUCAUCAUUUUGUUCUGCAGCCAUUUUUACAGGUUGAAGCUUAUAACUGAAAACUUGAUUCAAAGAAUCGCAGCUGAAGAAAUCAAACUAACGAGAAAACGAGCAGUGACAAUUC
RNAcentral lists this unclassified non-coding RNA (226 nucleotides) under Arabidopsis thaliana (thale cress). Lineage: Eukaryota; Viridiplantae; Streptophyta; Magnoliopsida; Brassicales; Brassicaceae. The record is from RNAcentral.